GGCUGAGUCACAGCAGUUCUUCAGUGGCAAGCUUUACGUCCUGUCCCAGCUAAAGCUGCCAGUUGAAGAACUGUUGAACUCAGC
Molecule: microRNA precursor, 84 nt
Filed under: Ornithorhynchus anatinus (platypus)
Lineage: Eukaryota; Metazoa; Chordata; Mammalia; Monotremata; Ornithorhynchidae
Description: mir-22 microRNA precursor family
Rfam family: mir-22 microRNA precursor family
Source: Rfam by way of RNAcentral